Molecule: long non-coding RNA, 1885 nt
Organism: Halichondria panicea
Lineage: Eukaryota; Metazoa; Porifera; Demospongiae; Suberitida; Halichondriidae
Exons: 2
Source: RefSeq, a predicted model, not a curated record
GAGGUCCGACAACAGUGCGCCUGAGCUUUCUGAAGCAACGCUCUUUAGUAAAAAAAGGAUCAUUAUGCCGAUUCAGCAAAAAGCUAAAGAAGAUAAAUGUCACACAAAGUUAAUUUUGGCAGGCUGCUGAAUAAAAUGCAAUGUGCGCUACAAGUUCUAUACCAGACACUUCAGUUGACAUUGCCAUUAAUAAUGAGGUAAACGUCUCUGUGCUGAACAUAGGUGUACAAUUCACAUACAGAAUUCCAAGCUUUUCAGUAAUUGAAGUUGAACUGCACUGAGGCAAGGAACAUUUCAGUUUGAACAUUUAGAUGGAUCUGUACGUGUGUAUGAUGGAUUCUUGAGAUCAGACCAGAGCUUUCCAGACCCUUCUAGACCGUCUACCACCCCUUUUGCUAUCACUAUUAAAGACCAUUGUUUUGUUGAUGUUGAAGAGUUUUGUAAAGUUGUGUAUGUAUACGACACCUAAAGGCUUUUGACAAGCUUGGUUUUCUAAUCGUAUGAGAUUGGCUACUUAAUGAUGGAAACUGUGACGAUGAUACUGAUAGUAGUGUGUGUGACAGAAUAUCUAGUGAAGAGUUUGCAUCCCAAGAAGAAGACACUUAAGAGAGCUAUGUUCCAUUUAAAUGCAUAGGUGUCACUCGUGAUACGGAGUAUCAGAACAUUCUCCAUGAAGUUAAGGAUAUAAUUAAAAGUGGUGACAUUGUUCCAGUGAAGAUGAAACCUGAGCCAGAGAAUAUUGUUGAUCCUGAGGCAAUUUCUUUUCAGUGCCUUCAUAAUGGGGUUUGGCGGACAAUUGGUUAUGUUGUUUCUGAAAUUUGUGAGGAAGUACACACAGCUAUCAAACAAGGGGACAUAUUAGUAGUCGAGUUCGUGUGGGUAAAGUUCAAGCUUUGGAAGAAACAGCCUGGCUAUUAUGCUUGUAUUGGAGUCACUCGGAGAGGAGAAUGGUCGAUAAAGGUUAAAAGAUGUUGUAGCACCUUUACUUGAACUGCAACUUGCAAUAAUUGUAUGGUCAUCAUCUGUCACAGUUGUUAAUUUUGAACGUAUGACAUUGGAUAAUUAACGCAUGCAAAUGACGUAUGAAUACAAGGUAAAGAAUACAUAAUAGCAAUAAUACGUCCUCGAAAGUUAGACAUACGAGUGUUCGGAGAUGUAAUUGGGAAUAUUAGGUGGUGGCGGCAGCUCUUCUGGUGGAUUGUGAAAAAUUGCUGUUUUGUGUGAUGGAAGGGAGGACUUCCCACUUGAAAACGUAGAAGUGGCCAUCGAUUCAGCUCUCGGGACUCUAGGCAUUUUUCUAGGUGAUUGUGUGGAUGGAAUGUCAAAAUCAGGUCUGUCACCCUCAUAGAAGCGGUCGUGGUUGGAGGUAUAAUAAAAAUACGGCAGAUCGGGGUCAUUCCGUUUCUCAUACUGUUAUAGGUCUCUUCGUGCCUAUUGCUUUCGCCAAGUUGUACAUCACAUUGGUUCCACCACCACGAUCCAAUUGCACCAUAGCCUCAAGAGAGAGAAUUAGAUAAUCGGAAGGAUAAACUCUUUCAUAAUAAAGAAGAGCAUAUUUCUGGAACAGCUUAGUCACCACACCGAUCUGUUCUUCUCGACAGAGCUCUGAUAUUGUCUGACCAGUGCCUGAUAAAACACAAUUGUUCAUCAUUGGGCAAGAAGAGUUUGUUUUAUUGGUCAAAUUGUAUUCAGCCUUGGCAUUGUCAGGAGAGGAGAAACGGUUUUGCAGCUCCCUCUGAACAGUGUUUCGACAGGCAUCAGCUAGCUACAGUAGAUGAGAUAGAAAAUUCACCAUUAUUUUUAUGAUACUAACAUCUAGUAGCAGUUUACCUGUGCGUACUGUUUCCAUGUUUACAAAAAGAAAUUCAGAGGCAUAUUUCCAAAA